This 274-nucleotide ribosomal RNA is filed under the name uncultured bacterium. RNAcentral's name for it is "partial 16S ribosomal RNA". It matches the Rfam family "Bacterial small subunit ribosomal RNA", at positions 523 to 796 of the family's 1533-position model. The record is from RNAcentral.
AUACGUAGGGUGCUAGCGUUAAUCGGAAUUACUGGGCGUAAAGCGUGCGCAGGUGGUUUUGUAAGUCAGAUGUGAAAUCCCCGGGCUUAACCUGGGAACUGCGUUUGAAACUGCAAGGCUAGAGUGUGGCAGAGGGGGGUGGAAUUCCGCGUGUAGCAGUGAAAUGCGUAGAGAUGUGGAGGAACACCGAUGGCGAAGGCAGCCCCCUGGGUCAGCACUGACGCUCAGGCACGAAAGCAUGGGGAGCAAACAGGAUUAGAUACCCCGGUAGUCC